This 593-nucleotide ribosomal RNA is filed under the name uncultured bacterium. Its description in RNAcentral is "bacterial SSU rRNA". It matches the Rfam family "Bacterial small subunit ribosomal RNA", at positions 338 to 946 of the family's 1533-position model. The record is from RNAcentral.
CCUACGGGAGGCAGCAGUGGGGAAUAUUGGACAAUGGGCGAAAGCCUGAUCCAGCAAUGCCGCGUGAGUGAUGAAGGCCUUCGGGUCGUAAAGCUCUUUUACCAGGGAUGAUAAUGACAGUACCUGGAGAAUAAGCUCCGGCUAACUCCGUGCCAGCAGCCGCGGUAAUACGGAGGGAGCUAGCGUUGUUCGGAAUUACUGGGCGUAAAGAGUACGUAGGCGGUUAUUCAAGUCAGAGGUGAAAGCCCGGGGCUCAACCCCGGAACUGCCUUUGAAACUAGAUAACUAGAGUCUUGGAGAGGUUAGUGGAAUUCCGAGUGUAGAGGUGAAAUUCGUAGAUAUUCGGAAGAACACCAGUGGCGAAGGCGACUAACUGGACAAGUACUGACGCUGAGGUACGAAAGCGUGGGGAGCAAACAGGAUUAGAUACCCUGGUAGUCCACGCCGUAAACGAUGAUAACUAGUUGUUCGGUCACUUGGUGACUGAGUGACGCAGCUAACGCAUUAAGUUAUCCGCCUGGGGAGUACGGUCGCAAGAUUAAAACUCAAAUGAAUUGACGGCUGGAGAGUUGCGAGCGACGACGAGGGAGAGG